GACGGAGGGGGCUAGUGUUAUUCGCAGUUACUGGGCGUAAAGGGCCUGUAGGUGGUGUUUUAAGUUGUGUACACUGUAAUUGGAGUGAUUUGAUGGGUGGAUGCAAAACUGGGAUGCUAGAGUGAGGGGGAAGACAGUGGUAUGCUCAAUGGAGGGGUAAUAUCCAAUGAUAUUGAGUGGACCAGCGAGAGGCGUAGGCGACUGUCUACAACUAUACUGACGCUGAGGGGCGAAAGCGUGGGGAGCAAACAGG
Molecule: unclassified non-coding RNA, 253 nt
Filed under: uncultured bacterium
Lineage: Bacteria
Description: contains 16S-23S intergenic spacer region
Rfam family: Bacterial small subunit ribosomal RNA
Source: RNAcentral